This 465-nucleotide ribosomal RNA is filed under the name Vreelandella stevensii. RNAcentral describes it as "partial 16S ribosomal RNA". It matches the Rfam family "Bacterial small subunit ribosomal RNA", at positions 338 to 795 of the family's 1533-position model. The record is from RNAcentral. Lineage: Bacteria; Pseudomonadati; Pseudomonadota; Gammaproteobacteria; Oceanospirillales; Halomonadaceae.
CCUACGGGAGGCAGCAGUGGGGAAUAUUGGACAAUGGGGGCAACCCUGAUCCAGCCAUGCCGCGUGUGUGAAGAAGGCCCUCGGGUUGUAAAGCACUUUCAGUGAGGAAGAACGCCUGGUGGUUAAUACCCAUCAGGAAAGACAUCACUCACAGAAGAAGCACCGGCUAACUCCGUGCCAGCAGCCGCGGUAAUACGGAGGGUGCGAGCGUUAAUCGGAAUUACUGGGCGUAAAGCGCGCGUAGGUGGCUUGAUAAGCCGGUUGUGAAAGCCCCGGGCUCAACCUGGGAACGGCAUCCGGAACUGUCAAGCUAGAGUGCAGGAGAGGAAGGUAGAAUUCCCGGUGUAGCGGUGAAAUGCGUAGAGAUCGGGAGGAUUACCAGUGGCGAAGGCGGCCUUCUGGACUGACACUGACACUGAGGUGCGAAAGCGUGGGUAGCAAACAGGAUUAGAUACCCUUGUAGUC